UUCUUCUACUUUCUUAUAGAAAUUUAAUGAUCUUACUAAGUCUCUCUAAAUUGGUGCAUUUCAAAGGGCGGUUUAAUUAUAGUUCCAAUUCUAUUUUAACUUGGAAUUAAUUGAACCUAAAGAUAUGGUUAGGUCUGAAUUUAUACUUUUCCUUUCAGAUGCAAUCAAGAAGCCACUUCAACUCCUACAAGUCGACAACUUGAUUAGCAAUUAGCCAAAUUUUGGAUCGAAUUCGUUUCAGUCCGACCCAAAACCCGCGUAGUGCUCAAAGAACGGGGGCAAAACAUGAGAAAUGAGUCCUCCCAUUAGGCGUACGGCAAUUAAUAAUGAUUGCCGUCAACAACCUGAGAGACGAGCCAAUAAAAAUCAGUUAUAAAACCAUUAAGUCGAUACACAAGCGGACAUACGAGUGAGUAGAAGAUACAUUGCUGAUACAGCUACUGUCCGGGCUAUAAAUAGCCCCAGAAAAACCGCAACGAACCGAAUCGAAAACCAAACCCGAGACCGAAGCCUUAAUUGUCUAACGCCCGUGUAUCAAUCAGAUGGAAUAAGGGGCUCCCUAUCUCCCCAUUCUCAAGUUUCGCACAAGUGUUCAAAGGAGAAAAUGGUAUCGUAUAAGACUCGCUCGAUUGUAAAUUUCCAAAAUAUAUGAUGAGAACGUCAACAUUUCACAUGGUUUAUCUCUACUUCAGUCUGUGAUUUCUUUAUUAAUUGACCAAUUGCCGGAUCUUAGUCAUCCAUCUACGUGAGGAGCCCAACGAUGUCGGACAAUCAUCCAAGCAAAUUCCCCGAAAAUUCUCUGCGUCACUAUAUUAAAAUCAAGCUACGCCUGCGCUGAGCCUCUCUCUCGCUCUCUUGGUUUUUGCAGACCCAAGAGGAGCUCUCAAAAAAGACAGCGCUGUUGGGCCUGCCAAUGAUAAACUCUCUCGCCGCUCCCUCGGUUUGACUAUCUUAUAGAUACUUGGAUACACUCGUACUUUGUUUUGUUUGCCUAAUCAGUUUCUCGUGUCGGCGUCGCUUUGUGUACAGCGCCACCAUUAAAGCCAUCGAAUCAAGUUCAUUUCGCAUACGAUUCUCCAUUAAGUUCCCUAUGAAUAAUUGGCAACAGGUGGCGAUUACCCCAAAAACGUCUUCGAGGUCUUCUUUUUCGUGUGGGGGAAGGGAGCUAAUGGCAAAAGGUAAAGGCCAAGGAAUCGUGAAAUCAUGGAACUUUAUACGCAUUACUCCUACGACAGAUCAAAGAACGAAGAAUUUUCCAAUAAAUAAAGCAUACCAUUAUUAUUAAAAAACUUUGGCUAUUGGUACCAGAAGAUGCAUCUGUCCACCGACACACAGAGUAGACUUCGCAGGUAAGAUGACGAGACAACCAAUAAAUUCUGAAGUA
Long non-coding RNA from Drosophila miranda, 1384 nucleotides. RefSeq lists it as uncharacterized. The record is from RefSeq and is a predicted model, not a curated record. NCBI's taxonomy places the organism in Eukaryota, Metazoa, Arthropoda, Insecta, Diptera, Drosophilidae. The transcript is spliced from 3 exons.